AUUUUACACCCUCCGUCCGAAAAUACUUGUCGUAGGAAUGGAUGUAUCUAGAACUAAAAUACAUCUAGAUACAUCUAUUCCUCGGACAAGUAUUUCCCGACGAAGGGAGUAUUUG
Molecule: non-coding RNA, 115 nt
Organism: Triticum aestivum (bread wheat)
Lineage: Eukaryota; Viridiplantae; Streptophyta; Magnoliopsida; Poales; Poaceae
Source: Rfam